GACGAACGCUGGCGGCGUGCCUAAUACAUGCAAGUAGAACGCACAGUUUAUACCGUAGCUUGCUACACCAUAGACGGUGAGUUGCGAACGCGUGAGUAACGCGUAGGUAACCUUCCUGGUAGCUGGGGAUAACUAUUGGAAACUAUAGCUAAUACCGCAUCAUAUUAAUUUUUGCAUGAUAAUUGAUUGAAAUAUGCAACUGCAUCACUACCAGAUGUACCUGCGUUGUAUUAGCUAGUAGGUGAGGUAACGGCUCACCUAGGCGACGAUAUAUAUCCGACACGAAGAGGUGAUCGGCCAGCCUGAGACUGAGACAGGGCCCAGACUCCUGCAGGAGGCAGCAGUAGGGACUCUUAGGCAAUGGAGGAGAGUCUGACCGAGCACCGCCGCGUGAGUGAAGAAGGAUUUCGGAUCGUAAAGCUCUGUUGUAAGAGAAGAACGGGUGUGAGAGUGGAAAGUUCACAAUGUGACGGUAGCUAACCAGAAAGGGACGGCUAACUACGUG
Molecule: ribosomal RNA, 505 nt
Filed under: uncultured bacterium
Lineage: Bacteria
Description: partial 16S ribosomal RNA
Rfam family: Bacterial small subunit ribosomal RNA
Source: RNAcentral